Molecule: ribosomal RNA, 492 nt
Filed under: uncultured bacterium
Lineage: Bacteria
Description: partial 16S ribosomal RNA
Rfam family: Bacterial small subunit ribosomal RNA
Source: RNAcentral
AGUGAACGCUGGCGGUAGGCCUAACACAUGCAAGUCGAACGGCAGCACAGUAAGAGCUUGCUCUUACGGGUGGCGAGUGGCGGACGGGUGAGGAAUACAUCGGAAUCUACUUUUUCGUGGGGGAUAACGUAGGGAAACUUACGCUAAUACCGCAUACGACCUACGGGUGAAAGCAGGGGAUCUUCGGACCUUGCGCGAUUGAAUGAGCCGAUGUCGGAUUAGCUAGUUGGCGGGGUAAAGGCCAACCAAGGCGACGAUCCGUAGCUGGUCUGAGAGGAUGGUCGGCCACACUGGAACUGAGACACGGUCCAGACUCCUACGGGAGGCAGCAGUGGGGAAUAUUGGACAAUGGGCGCAAGCCUGGUCCAGCCAUACCGCGUGGGUGAAGAAGGCCUUCGGGUUGUAAAGCCCUUUUGUUGGGAAAGAAAAGCAGCAGGUUAAUACCCCGCUGUUCUGACGGUACCCAAAGAAUAAGCACCGGCUAACUUCGUG